Molecule: long non-coding RNA, 6576 nt
Filed under: Gossypium barbadense (sea-island cotton)
Lineage: Eukaryota; Viridiplantae; Streptophyta; Magnoliopsida; Malvales; Malvaceae
Description: long non-coding RNA (GBAR_LNC009729)
Source: RNAcentral
AAAUUUCCAAUUUUGCCCUUAUUUCCCUUAUUUUUCUGCUGAUUUUCUUGCCUUUGCCGUCCAGCCUAUUCACUUUUAGGCUUAAUUUCCCUUUAAAUCUUCCUUCUUUUAACACUUGAGCUAUUUAAUCCUUUUAGCAAAAUUUAUUUUUAUUACAAUUUAGUCCUUUUUAUUUAAUUGACUACCUAAUCGUUAAAAUUUCUCAACCAAACUUUAAUACUAGCUAAAUGAAACUUCAUAAAUAUUUAUAAAAUAUUUAGAGCUUGAUUUUCAAAUUCGAGGUCUCGAUACCUCGUUUUUGACCCGUUUGACCUAAUAAAUUCUUUUAAUUCACUAAUUUCACCAUUUCACAAAUUCUUCUAAAUUCUUACUUGACUCAUAAAUAUUAAAUUACUAUCUUGUUCAAUCUUAUUUUCCGGAUUUAGUGAUCUCAAAUCACCAUUUUCGAAACCACUGAAAAUUAAGCCGUUACAACUCUCCCCCCUUAGGAAAUUUCGUCCUCGAAAUUUCGUACCUGAAAAUAAAUGCGGAUAUUGUGAUCUCAUAGAUUCUUCCGUUUCCCAAGUUGCCUCCUCCAAUCCAUGUCGAUGCCAUAACACUUUUACUAACGGUACUCGUUUAUUCCGUAGUUCUUUAACUUCCCGAGCUAAUAUUUUCACUGGUUCCUCCGAAUAAGUCAUAUCUGAUUGUAGCUCUAUCUCAGUAUGAGGAAUCACAUGUGAAGGGUCUGAUCUAUAUCGUCUCAACAUAGAUACAUGAAAUACAUUAUGGAUCUUCUCAAGUUCUGGAGGCAAGGCCAAUCUAUAAGCUACCGGACCGAUCCUCUCAAUGAUUUCGUAUGGUCCGAUAAAUCGUGGACUAAGCUUUCCUUUUCUACCAAACCGUAAAACUUUCUUCCACGGAGAAACUUUCAAGAACACACGUUCACCCACAUUGAACUCUAUAUCUCUUCUUUUCAAAUCUGCAUACGACUUUUGACAAUCGGAAGCAGCUUUCAAACUUUCUUGAAUAAUCUGAACUUUCUCUUCAGUUUCCCGAAUUAAAUCCACUCCGACUAAUUUCGAUUCACUUAAUUCUGACCAAUACAACGGGGUUCUGCACUUCCUUCCAUACAGAGCUUCAAACGGUGUCAUUUUGAUACUAGCUUGAUAACUGUUAUUAUAAGCAAAUUCAGCUAAAGGUAAGUACCUUUCCCAGUUGCCACUGAACUCAAGUAUACAACACCUUAACAUAUCUUCCAAAAUCUGAAUCACUCGCUCUGAUUGUCCAUCUGUCUGAGGGUGAAAAGCUGUACUAAAUUUUAACUUAGUACCUAAAGCUUCCUGUAGUUUAUUCCAAAAUCUCGAAGUAAACCUCGGAUCUCGAUCAGAAAUAAUUGAUGUCGGCACCCCAUGUAAUCUCACAAUUUCUGAUACAUAUAAUUCCGCUAACUUAUCAAGUGAAAAAUCUGUUCUGACCGGAAUAAAAUGCGCCGAUUUAGUUAAUCUGUCUACUAUCACCCAAAUCGAAUCUUUUUUCUUCGGAGUCACUGGCAAUCCAGAUACAAAAUCCAUCGUCACAUGUUCCUACUUCCAUUCUGGAAUCAUUACGAGUUGUAACAAACCUGUAGGCACUUGAUGUUCAGCUUUUACCUGUUGACAGAUUAAACAUUUUGCCACAAAUUCACAAAUUUCCCGUUUCAUACCAGGCCACCAAUACAUAUUUUUCAAACCACAAUACAUCUUCGUACUACCCGGAUGAAUCGAGUACAUACUACUAUGAGCCUCUGAUAAGAUAUCCUUCUUCAAUUCUAGAUUAUUCGGGACACAAAUUCUAUUACGAUGGUAUAACAUACCACUAUUAUCAAUAGAGUAAUCUAAGUUCAAAUUAUCCCGAACCAUUUGUCGUUUCAACACCAACUUCGGAUCUUCAUCUUGCAAUUCCCGAAUUCGUUGAAAGAAUACUGGUUUUGUCUUUAAUUCAGCUAAUAUAGAACCAUUUUCAUUAACAGACAAAUGAGCAUUUAACGCCCGAAGAGCAAAUAAUGAUGAUUUCCGACUAAGUGCAUCUGUCACUACAUUUGCCUUACCCGGAUGAUAAUCAAUGAUAAGAUCGUAAUCUUUCAACAGCUCUAACCAUCGCCUCUGUCUCAAAUUCAGCUCUUUCUGCGACAUUAAAUAUUUCAAACUUUUAUGGUCUGUAUACACAUAACAUUUCUCUCCAUAUAGGUAGUGUCUCCAAAUUUUUAAAGCAAAUACUAUGGCAGCUAAUUCAAGAUCAUGUGUAGGGUAGUUCCUCUCAUGUGGUUUCAACUGUCGAGAAGCAUAUGCUACAACUUUUCCUGACUGCAUCAAUACACAACCUAAACCAUUCAUAGAUGCAUCACUAUAUACUACAUAUGGCACACCUGAUUCAGGCUGAGUUAACACCGGAGCCUCUGUCAACAUUUUCUUUAAUUGAUCAAAACUUCGUUGGCACUCAUCAGACCAUACAAACUCAACAUUCUUCUGUAAUAAUUUAGUUAUAGGUGAAGCAAUCAGUGAAAAAUCUUUCACAAAUCGACGAUAGUAACCAGCUAAUCCAAGGAAACUUCGCACUUCCGUAACAUUCUUUGGAGUUUUCCAAUUAAUCACCGCUGACACCUUACUCGGAUCUACCCGUAUACCAUCAACUGACACAAUGUGACCCAAGAAUCCCACUUCAUGAAGCCAAAAUUCACAUUUACUAAAUUUUGCAUAUAACUGUUUUUCCCUUAAUAUCUGUAGUACAAUUCUCAAGUGCUGAGCAUGCUCGGAUUCUGUCUUUGAAUAGAUCAGUAUAUUGUCAAUAAACACAACCAAAAAUCUAUCCAGGUGAGACUGGAAAAUUCGAUUCAUUAAAUCCAUAAAAGCAGCAGGAGCAUUUGUCAUACCGAAUGGCAUAACUAAGAACUCAUAAUGACCAUACCGAGUUCUAAAAGCUGUUUUCGGCACAUCACAUUCCUUUACCUUUAACUGAUAAUACCCAGAUCUGAGAUCUAUUUUUGAAAACACUGCAGCAUCCUUAAGCUGAUCGAAUAAAUCAUCAAUACGAGGCAAAGGAUAUUUAUUUUUAAUUAUUACCUUAUUCAGCUGCCUGUAAUCUAUACACAACCUCAAUGAACCAUCAUUCUUUUUCACAAAUAAGACAGGUGCACCCCAUGGCGACAUACUCGGUCUGAUAAACCCUUUAUCUAACAGCUCUUGCAACUGCGUUUUUAACUCUCUUAAUUCUGCUGGAGCCAUUCUAUACGGUGUCACCGAUAUGGGAGCUGUUCCCGGAAGCACAUCUAUCACGAACUCAACUUCUCUAUCGGGUGGUAAACCUGGUAAUUCUUCAGGAAAUACAUCCAUGAAUUCAUUUACAAUAGAUAGUUGCUCUAACUUUGAUUCAGAACUUCGAGUAUCAAGAAUAUAGGCUAAAUAAGCCUCAUUUCCUUUACGCAACAAUUUCUGAGCAGACAUAAAGGAAAUCAUUCUAACCAUGUCAUCCAAAUUUCCAGACUCAACCAAAAUAAUGUCUCCUGUUUGACAUUUCAAACUAAUUCGUUUUUCUCGACAAUUCACUAUUGCAUCAUGUUUCAUUAACCAGUCCAUGCCCAAGAUAAUAUCAAAUUCCCGAAAUAUUAAGCUUUAACGGGGUCAUCAUCUGUUCUUCCCCGAAAUUCUUCAGCCCCAUGUUUUCUGAGCUUUUCAAAUGGAGAACGUUUGCCAGAUUCAGUUGUCGGAGGAGGUGGAGGAGCAACCGGGGGUACUACCGAUGUUGAGAUAAGGGGAGGAGGUUGCAGAGUCUGAUUUCUUUAUCGCACAUUCUCAUUAUACCACUGAUUCAUGAAUCCAUAAAUCAUAUUUUUGAGUUCUUGUUCUCGCAUCAAUGAAAUCGGAGCUUCACUACUUGUUCCUUGUUCAGAGAUUUGUACUCUGCUAUUAACUUCUUCUUGCUCAGUUUGUUCUGGUCUAUCUGACAUCUUUUCAAAUCGAAGAUAAUCUAUAAUAAAAACAAGGAUUAGAUCGGAUCAUACACAGCACACUAUCACAGAUUUAUAUGGCAUGUAAUUCUAGACGCUUUUCACAUCAUACAUAUUCCGAGAAUCGGCUAAACCGAAGCUCUGAUACCAAUAAAUGUAACGCCCCUUACCCAAGACCGUUGCCGGAGUCGAGCACAAGGCACUACUAAACUUAUUUGAGCACUUAACCAAAUUCAGAUAAUUUAUAUCAUACUUUUCAGACAAGCUGUCCAACUGCGUCAUAGUUGCUAAAUAAUUCAUAUCUCGAGUUAUAAAACUCAAAAUCCAGAGCUUCAAUGACUAUUUCGUUUGUCUCUAAUAAAACUAGACUCAAUAAGGAAUCUGUACAUAUAAAGUAUGACUUCUAAUUAUCUUUGUAAAAUUUAUGGUGAAUUUUCAAAGUCAGAACAGGGGAUCCAGAAAUUGCUCUGGCCCUGUUUCACAAAAAUUUAAACAUCUCAUAAAAUAUAGCUCAUAUACCUGUUUUGCUUCUUCUAUAUGAAAAUAGACUCAUCAAGAUUCGAUUCCAUAACUUAUUCAUUAUUUAAUUCCAUUUCUACUAUUUUUAGUGAUUUUUCAAAGUCAAACUACUACUUACCAAAAACUAUUUUAGUACAAAUAUUGUUAACUAGUUUAUAACAUCUUUACUUCAAUUCAUUCAAACUCUAUACAUGCCAUAUAAAUCUUUAAACAGAAAACAAAAACUACUGGAAUUGAUCUGAAUAGUAUGCCCUGUUGUGUUGAUCCGAUCUACCAACUUCUCUUUAAUUCAUGAUAUGAAAAUCUUAUGAUUGUUAAAGUAUUUUAUUGUUGAUGAAUACUAUCAAUUUGCAUUAACUAAUAAAUAAUGCGUAACUAAAAGUACAAAUUAGUAGGAAUAAUGGAUUUGAGUGCUUCUAUUCUGUGACCCUGAUAAAUUGACGAAAAAUAUGUGAUAAGUGCGCCCGUUUUAGACCAUAGCUGGGCUAUGGCAUCGGUGCAAUGUGAUAAUGUGACUUCGUAUAAGACCAUAGCUGGGCUAUGGCAUCGGUAUAAUGUGAUAAUGUGAUUCCGUAUAAGACCAUGUCUGGGAUAUGGCUUCGGUAUGAUAUGUGAACCGUGUAAGACCAUGGCAAGGCUAUGGCUUCGGUGUGUGAUGCGUAACAAUGUGAAAGUCCAUAGUUUACUAUGGCAAUGUGAUAAUGAAACACUCAAUUCCCUUAUUGUUCCCUAAUUUGACAAUGAAGUAAAUGAGAAAUGGGCCUAAGGGAGUUAAAUUGUGAGUAGCCAUAUGGAAAUUAUUCCAAUGAGUUAUUAAUGAAAUUGUGAUUUAGAGGAUGAAAUAGUUAAACUAAUAGAUAUAUGAUUGUGUACAAUAUUUGAUAUGAUUUGUGUUUUUAUGACUGAGCUUACUAAGCUUCAAUAAGCUUACUUGUGUGUGUUUGAUAAUUUCUAAACAUUGAACUUUGCCAUAUGAACUUACCUGGACUAAUUUGUAGAAGAUAUUGAAAUUUAGGGACUAUUCCGCAACUUUUUCUUUUCCUCGUUCUUCUUUGGAUUCUUUAUCUAUAGUAUAAAAUAUUUCUACUCAUUAGCAUUUAUUUGAUUUCUAUUUCACUUUACAAUUUAUGCUGUUCAAAUUUCGAAAUUGCACUUUUACCCCAAAAUUUACAGUUUUCACAAUUUAGUCCCUGCUCAAUUCACCCAUCAAUUGAACUAAUUUUUCUCAAUUAACACUUUAUUUUAUCAUUAUAAACUAUUUCAAAAUCUUUUCUAUUCUGAAUUUCAACAGAAACCUUCAAUUCAAAACUUUUUCACAAUUAGGUCCUAAAUAUCAUUUUCUAUCAAAAUCACUUAAUAAAACCACCUUAAUAUGAAAAUUAGAACUUAAAUUUCAUAAUAAUUCAUCAUAAAAUUCCCUUAUCUAUCCAGGGUAACUUCCAAUUUCACCCAUAAAAUCAAAAACUAAUGAAUUCUAUAAGUGGACGUAAUUGUAAAAGUCAUAAAAACAUAAAAAAAUUAUCAAAAAAAAGCAAGAAUUAAACUCACAUGAUGUAAAAUAUGAAGAACCAGCUUUCUCCAGACCUUCUAUGGCGUUUUGGCUGAUAAAAUAUGAAGAGAUCUCUAGAUUCUUCAAUUUUAUUCUUAUUUUAUAUGUUAAAGUUGUAAAAUUUCCAAUUUUGCCCUUAUUUCCCUUAUUUUUCUGCUGAUUUUCUUGCCUUUGCCGUCCAGCCUAUUCACUUUUAGGCUUAAUUUCCCUUUAAAUCUUCCUUCUUUUAACACUUGAGCUAUUUAAUCCUUUUAGCAAAAUUUAUUUUUAUUACAAUUUAGUCCUUUUUAUUUAAUUGACUACCUAAUCGUUAAAAUUUCUCAACCAAACUUUAAUACUAGCUAAAUGAAACUUCAUAAAUAUUUAUAAAAAUAUUUAUAGCUUGAUUUUCAAAUUCGAGGUCUCGAUACCUCGUUUUUGACCCGUUUGACCUAAUAAAUUCUUUUAAUUCACUAAUUUCACCAUUUCACAAAUUCUUCUAAAUUCUUACUUGACUCAUAAAUAUUAAAUUACUAUCUUGUUCAAUCUUAUUUGUCGGAUUUAG